GACUUCAUUAUGAGGCUUGAAAUUACAUAGUAUAGGUACUCUGAUUUCCUCUUUUUUAGUAUUGUAUUAGCUAUUCUGCAUCUUUUGCCUCACCAUAUAAACUUUAGUUUGUCAGAUUUUUAUAGUUUUUCUCAUAUAGAUCUUGUACAUAUGUUGCUUGAUUUAUUUCUAUUCAUUUUUGGGUGCUAAUAUGAGUGAUACGGUAUUUUACAAUUCAAGUCUCAUUUUUCAUUGAUGGUGCAUAAAAAAGUAAUUGUCUUUUGUACAUUAACCGUUUAUUCUGAAACCUAAUCGCUCAUUAGUUUCAGGGUUUUUUUCUUGUCAGUUUCUUUGGAUAUUCUCCAUAGGUAAACAUGUGCUAUAGGUUUUUUAUAGACGUUCCUUAACAAGUUGAGGAAGUCCUCUCCUAAUUUGUUGUUUUUUAAAUCUUGAAUGUUGAAUGUUUUCAACUGCUUUUUCUUCAUUUAUUAAUAUGAAUAUAUGACUGUUCCUUUUUAGCUUGUUGGUGUGAUGAAUAACAUUAACUGAUUUUUAAAUGUUGAACCAGCCUUGCAUCCCUGAAAUAAAUCCCACUUGUUUGUGGUGUAUUAUUCUUUCUAACCUCUCAGAAACUGUAAACAUCUUUAGCUUGUAGAGUUUGAGAAUUUCAUCUGUUCUGGUCUAGGGAAAUAUUUGCUUACUGAAUAAUUCAG
RNAcentral lists this long non-coding RNA (692 nucleotides) under Pan troglodytes (chimpanzee). RNAcentral describes it as "long non-coding RNA NONPTRT011628". Lineage: Eukaryota; Metazoa; Chordata; Mammalia; Primates; Hominidae. The record is from RNAcentral.